AGCUUUGCGCAGUGGCAGUAUCGUAGCCAAUGAGGUUUAUCCGAGGCGCGAUUAUUGCUAUUUACUUUUAGGAUGUUUUCUGUGCCUCCUGGACUUGAAUGCCUGUAUCCUUCCCAAGAUU
RNAcentral lists this small nuclear RNA (121 nucleotides) under Canis lupus familiaris (dog). Its description in RNAcentral is "U4 spliceosomal RNA (ENSCAFG00845010986.1)". The stretch from base 1 to 64 matches the Rfam family "U4 spliceosomal RNA". From Rfam's summary of the family: U4 small nuclear RNA (U4 snRNA) is a component of the major U2-dependent spliceosome. The structure of U4 snRNA from yeast and human has been reported. U4 snRNA presents a k-turn RNA motif in the 5p-SL related to recognition of Snu13 protein. Lineage: Eukaryota; Metazoa; Chordata; Mammalia; Carnivora; Canidae. The record is from RNAcentral.